RNAcentral lists this transfer RNA (73 nucleotides) under Providencia phage PSTCR5. It matches the Rfam family "tRNA". From Rfam's summary of the family: Transfer RNA (tRNA) molecules are approximately 80 nucleotides in length. Their secondary structure includes four short double-helical elements and three loops (D, anti-codon, and T loops). Lineage: Duplodnaviria; Heunggongvirae; Uroviricota; Caudoviricetes; Demerecviridae. The record is from Rfam by way of RNAcentral.
GGUUCUAUAACUCAGUUGGUAGAGUAGCGCUCUCAUACGGCGUGUGUCGCUGGUUCAAAUCCAGCUAGAACCU